ACACGUGAAAAAGUUCAAAUGGUA
RNAcentral lists this non-coding RNA (24 nucleotides) under Arabidopsis thaliana (thale cress). Lineage: Eukaryota; Viridiplantae; Streptophyta; Magnoliopsida; Brassicales; Brassicaceae. The record is from RNAcentral.